This 736-nucleotide long non-coding RNA is filed under the name Brassica napus (rape). RNAcentral's name for it is "long non-coding RNA (BNAP_LNC022982)". The record is from RNAcentral. Lineage: Eukaryota; Viridiplantae; Streptophyta; Magnoliopsida; Brassicales; Brassicaceae.
GGGGCGUCUAGCUCUGGUGGUAAAGGGUUCACAGCUGUGAGUACCGCCACCUAGGUUCGAUUCCCGGCCACUGCGAAAUUUAACAUUCGGGCCGCAGCGACACAGAUUAGUCCCUUGGGCCUGGGAAGCCUUUGGGGAAACUGUGUAUAAUUCAAAAAAAAUAAAUGAUUUGUUCAGUACAUAGGUAAAGUGUGGGGGAAAUGAAAAGAAGAGAAAUCCGGCGUUUAAGGAGUUAUGACGCAGCCAGAAUGUUCUUGGUCAACGCGUAUUUGCCUUAAACGCACAAAAUUAUUAAUAUCGUAUUUGGUUUAAAUUAGAAUAGGGAAAUCUGCCAAUCUUUGGACAUAUAAAAACAAUAUCCACAAAUAUGAUUCUUUAUAAAAUACAGCUGUACUAAAGAAAAUACAGCAAGAAAUGUUGAAAAGAAAAGAUGACAUGCUAGAAAGAAAUUAUGUAUCAUAUAAGGUCAAUUAUAUACUGGUAAACGUAUAAAUAAUACUAAUAUGUAAUGGGUGAUGAAUGACGAGUGGUGUUAGUCUGAAUAACAAAAGCAUUCUUUUAAAUAUUAUGCAGUAUAUUGCUUACACCAUCAAUAUCAUUUCAUACCUAAAAAUGUAUUAUAUUUGGAAUUUCCAUCAAUAAUUGAUAGAAAUUCAACAAUUAUUUUUUUUAGAAAAGAACAAUAAUACAGAGACAAAAAAAUCAAUAAAUAAAAUAAAUACAUAGAUCAAGUACU